This 484-nucleotide ribosomal RNA is filed under the name uncultured bacterium. Its description in RNAcentral is "partial 16S ribosomal RNA". It matches the Rfam family "Bacterial small subunit ribosomal RNA", at positions 30 to 507 of the family's 1533-position model. The record is from RNAcentral.
AUUGAACGCUGGCGGCAUGCCUUACACAUGCAAGUCGAACGGCAGCGCGGACUUCGGUCUGGCGGCGAGUGGCGAACGGGUGAGUAAUACAUCGGAACGUACCCUGUUGUGGGGGAUAACUAGUCGAAAGAUUAGCUAAUACCGCAUACGACCUGAGGGUGAAAGUGGGGGACCGCAAGGCCUCACGCGGCAGGAGCGGCCGAUGUCUGAUUAGCUAGUUGGUGGGGUAAAGGCCCACCAAGGCGACGAUCAGUAGCUAGUCUGAGAGGACGAUCAGCCACACUGGGACUGAGACACGGCCCAGACUCCUACGGGAGGCAGCAGUGGGGAAUUUUGGACAAUGGGGGCAACCCUGAUCCAGCAAUGCCGCGUGUGUGAAGAAGGCCUUCGGGUUGUAAAGCACUUUUGUCCGGAAAGAAAGCGCGCUGGUUAAUACCUGGCGUGGAUGACGGUACCGGAAGAAUAAGCACCGGCUAACUACGUG